GGGCCUGUGAGGUAGUCUGGACAUCCUUCCGGCCUUCGGAGCCGGAUACCCGGGUUCAAAUCCCGGCGGGCCCG
Molecule: transfer RNA, 74 nt
Filed under: Thermoplasmata archaeon
Lineage: Archaea; Methanobacteriati; Thermoplasmatota; Thermoplasmata
Also listed under: 2 other names
Description: tRNA-Arg
Rfam family: tRNA
About the family: Transfer RNA (tRNA) molecules are approximately 80 nucleotides in length. Their secondary structure includes four short double-helical elements and three loops (D, anti-codon, and T loops). Further hydrogen bonds mediate the characteristic L-shaped molecular structure. tRNAs have two regions of fundamental functional importance: the anti-codon, which is responsible for specific mRNA codon recognition, and the 3' end, to which the tRNAs corresponding amino acid is attached (by aminoacyl-tRNA synthetases). tRNAs cope with the degeneracy of the genetic code in two manners: having more than one tRNA (with a specific anti-codon) for a particular amino acid; and 'wobble' base-pairing, i.e. permitting non-standard base-pairing at the 3rd anti-codon position.
Source: RNAcentral